UGGGGAAUAUUGGACAAUGGGCGAAAGCCUGAUCCAGCCAUGCCGCGUGUGUGAAGAAGGUCUUCGGAUUGUAAUGCACUUUAAGUUGGGAGGAAGGGCAGUAAGCGAAUACCUUGCUGUUUUGACGUUACCGACAGAAUAAGCACCGGCUAACUCUGUGCCAGCAGCCGCGGUAAUACAGAGGGUGCAAGCGUUAAUCGGAAUUACUGGGCGUAAAGCGCGCGUAGGUGGUUGGUUAAGUUGAAUGUGAAAGCCCCGGGCUCAACCUGGGAACUGCAUCCAAAACGGGCGAGCUAGAGUAGGGAAGAGGGGGGGGGAAUUUCCUGUGUAGCGGUGAAAUGCGUAGAUAUAGAAAGGAACACCAGUGGCGAAGGCGGCCACCUGGGCUCAUACUGACACUGAGGUGCGAAAGCGUGGGGAGCAAACAGG
RNAcentral lists this ribosomal RNA (429 nucleotides) under Pseudomonadota bacterium. RNAcentral's name for it is "Proteobacteria bacterium partial 16S ribosomal RNA". It matches the Rfam family "Bacterial small subunit ribosomal RNA", at positions 355 to 776 of the family's 1533-position model. Lineage: Bacteria; Pseudomonadati; Pseudomonadota. The record is from RNAcentral.